Oncorhynchus gorbuscha (pink salmon) is the source of this 1186-nucleotide long non-coding RNA. RefSeq lists it as uncharacterized. The transcript is spliced from 2 exons. The record is from RefSeq and is a predicted model, not a curated record. NCBI's taxonomy places the organism in Eukaryota, Metazoa, Chordata, Actinopteri, Salmoniformes, Salmonidae.
ACACACACACACACGUAUACGUACACACACUGUACACACGCGACCACGCUGUGUACACACAUGAGAUGUAAAGCGCCUCAUCAAGCCGUGCCAUCAGCUUCCUGUAUAGUGAGUCUACUUGUCUGAGCCUCCCGUUCUUCAGCGAUCACAAUCCUUUACUAAAAAGGGAUAUUGUUUUUUCCUUCAACUGUGAAAAGAUAUAUCUAUAGAAAUCAUACAGAUUAAUAUAUGUACUCUCAAUUUAUGUAUAGUGUCCAUAUUCCCCCAUAAAAAAAAUAUUUAUACAUUUUGUAAAAAAAAAAAAAAAAACUUCAGAAGAAAAAGAAUCUGAAAGAAAAACGGUGUCCUGAAGUUGAAGUGAAGUUGACAAGUUGGAGAUAUUUAUUCAAAACGACACUAAAGGACACCGGGCCGCUGUGACUGUUUCAAAGAAAAAACCCCAACAGUCCCUUCACCUGCCCACUAUUACACAAUAUCAUUAAAUGUUCAACAAUGUAUCCAAUUUAAUGUGUUUUAACAUCAACAACAACAAAAAGAUUGACUUAUUUUUUUGGUUUUGUUUUUUAAAUCUGCAAUUUUCUGUGCAUUUGAGCCAAAUUGUUACAUGUACAAGAGCUAUAAUGUGUAUUUUAUUAAAUUAAUAUAUCGUUGUGUUGCAAUAUACAUGGGCUUUAUAUUGUAUUUUGAUGACCUCUCCUUAGUAGCUUGUCGAACUCUAUGAGUUUAAAUCAGUUUGGGGAUGUAUCCCGAAUAGCAACCUGUUUCCUGUGGAGUGCACUAGUUUUGACCAGGGCCCAUAGGGACACUCAUAGGGCUCUGAUCAAAACUAGUGCACUACGUAGUUUAUAGUGUUCCGUUUAGGACUCAAUCCUUUGGGUAUUUUUUUGUUUUGUUUUUUUUCCGUCUGUGUGUCCUCCUCUCUACUCAUUACGUCCUUUACAGGAUGGGUUUCACUGGUCUUUCAGGUGUGUCCUCCUCUCUACUCAUUACGUCCUUUACAGGAUGGGUUUCACUGGUCUUUCAGGUGUGUCCUCCUCUCUACUCAUUACGUCCUUUACAGGAUGGGUUUCACUGGUCUUUCAGGUGUGUCCUCCUCUCUACUCAUUACGUCCUUUACAGGAUGGGUUUCACUGGUCUUUCAGGUGUGUCCUCCUCUCUACUCAUUACGUCCUUUACAGGAUGGGUU